Molecule: ribosomal RNA, 253 nt
Filed under: uncultured bacterium
Lineage: Bacteria
Description: partial 16S ribosomal RNA
Rfam family: Bacterial small subunit ribosomal RNA
Source: RNAcentral
UACAGAGGUCCCAAGCGUUGUUCGGAUUCACUGGGCGUAAAGGGUGCGUAGGUGGUCGGGUAAGUCUGGUGUGAAAUCUCCGAGCUCAACUCGGAAAUGGCAUUGGAUACUAUUCGGCUGGAGGGUUGGAGGGGGGACUGGAAUUCUUGGUGUAGCAGUGAAAUGCGUAGAUAUCAAGAGGAACACCAGUGGCGAAGGCGAGUCCCUGGACAACUCCUGACACUGAGGCACGAAAGCUAGGGGAGCAAACAGG